This 120-nucleotide ribosomal RNA is filed under the name uncultured bacterium. RNAcentral's name for it is "partial 16S ribosomal RNA". It matches the Rfam family "Bacterial small subunit ribosomal RNA", at positions 215 to 334 of the family's 1533-position model. The record is from RNAcentral.
GCACUAUUGGAGCGGCCGAUGUCGGAUUAGCUAGUUGGUGGGGUAAAAGCUUACCAAGGCGACGAUCCGUAGCUGGUCUGAGAGGACGAUCAGCCACACUGGAACUGAGACACGGUCCAG